GAUGAACGCUGGCGGCGUGCCUAAUACAUGCAAGUCGAGCGAACAGACGAGGCGCUUGCUCCUCUGACGUUAGCGGCGGACGGGUGAGUAACACGUGUAUAACCUACCUAUAAGACUGGGAUCACUUCGGGAAACCGGCGCUAAUACCGGAGAAUAUAUUGAACCGCGUGGUUCAAUAGUGAAAGACGGUUUUGGUGUCUCUUAUCGAUGCAUACCGGCCGCAUUAGCUGGUUGGGAAGGUAAAGGCUUAUCACGGGAACGAGGCGUAGCCGAACGGAGAGGGUGGUCGGCCACACGAGAACUUAGACACGCACCAGGCUCCUACGGGAGGCAGCAGUAGGGAAUCUGCCGCAAUGGGCGAAAGCCUGACGGAGCGGCGCCGCGUGAGUGAUGGAGGUCUUGGGAUCGUGAUACUCGGUUAUGAGGGAAGAACAGAUGUGUAAGUAACUAUGCACGUCUUGACGGUACCUGAUCAGAAAGCCACGGCUAACUACGUG
RNAcentral lists this ribosomal RNA (497 nucleotides) under uncultured bacterium. RNAcentral's name for it is "partial 16S ribosomal RNA". It matches the Rfam family "Bacterial small subunit ribosomal RNA", at positions 28 to 507 of the family's 1533-position model. The record is from RNAcentral.